GACGAACGCUGGCGGCGUGCUUAACACAUGCAAGUCGUACGGUAAGGCCCCUUCGGGGGUACACGAGUGGCGAACGGGUGAGUAACACGUGAGUAACCUGCCCACAACUUUGGGAUAACGCUAGGAAACUGGUGCUAAUACUGGAUAUGUGCUCCUGCUGCAUGGUGGGGGUUGGAAAGCUCCGGCGGUUGUGGAUGGACUCGCGGCCUAUCAGCUUGUUGGUGGGUAGUGGCCUACCAAGGCGGCGACGGGUAGCCGGCCUGAGAGGGUGACCGGCCACAUUGGGACUGAGAUACGGCCCAGACUCCUACGGGAGGCAGCAGUGGGGAAUAUUGCACAAUGGGCGCAAGCCUGAUGCAGCAACGCCGCGUGCGGGAUGACGGCCUUCGGGUUGUAAACCGCUUUCAGCAGGGACGAAGCUUUUUGUGACGGUACCUGCAGAAGAAGCACCGGCUAACUACGUG
RNAcentral lists this ribosomal RNA (464 nucleotides) under uncultured bacterium. RNAcentral describes it as "partial 16S ribosomal RNA". It matches the Rfam family "Bacterial small subunit ribosomal RNA", at positions 28 to 507 of the family's 1533-position model. The record is from RNAcentral.